RNAcentral lists this ribosomal RNA (304 nucleotides) under uncultured bacterium. RNAcentral describes it as "partial 16S ribosomal RNA". It matches the Rfam family "Bacterial small subunit ribosomal RNA", at positions 506 to 807 of the family's 1533-position model. The record is from RNAcentral.
CAGCAGCAGCCGCGGGAAUACGGAGGGUGCAAGCGUUAAUCGGAAUUACUGGGCGUAAAGCGCACGCAGGCGGUCUGUCAAGUCAGAUGUGAAAUCCCCGGGCUUAACCUGGGAACUGCAUUUGAAACUGGCAGGCUAGAGUCUUGUAGAGGGGGGUAGAAUUCCAGGUGUAGCGGUGAAAUGCGUAGAGAUCUGGAGGAAUACCGGUGGCGAAGGCGGCCCCCUGGACAAAGACUGACGCUCAGGUGCGAAAGCGUGGGGAGCAAACAGGAUUAGAUACCCGCGUAGUCCCUGUCUCUUAUAC